GCCAACAUGGCAUAGUGGUUUGAAUGCUGGACUACAACUCUGGAGACCAGGAUUCAAUUCCCAGCAUGGCCA
This 72-nucleotide transfer RNA is filed under the name Phrynosoma platyrhinos (Desert horned lizard). RNAcentral's name for it is "tRNA-OTHER". Lineage: Eukaryota; Metazoa; Chordata; Lepidosauria; Squamata; Phrynosomatidae. The record is from RNAcentral.